Molecule: long non-coding RNA, 239 nt
Filed under: Mytilus galloprovincialis (Mediterranean mussel)
Lineage: Eukaryota; Metazoa; Mollusca; Bivalvia; Mytilida; Mytilidae
Source: RNAcentral
AUACGACCGCAGAUGUAGAACCCUGAACAGAUGGGACAAAUAUGGACACAACUUUUAAGUUUGAUACAGCUUUAAAUGUGGAUUGUGAUUAAAUAGUUGACACAACAUAGGUUUAUGUCACAUUAUGAUUUGGACCCUUUGGACCUUAAUGUAGACCAAUUUGAAAACUGGACCUAAAAUUAAGAAUCUACAUACACAGUUAGAUUUGGAAUAUCAAAGAACCCCAUUUAUUCAAUUUU